Molecule: small RNA, 28 nt
Filed under: Bombyx mori (domestic silkworm)
Lineage: Eukaryota; Metazoa; Arthropoda; Insecta; Lepidoptera; Bombycidae
Description: ovarian small RNA-26193
Source: RNAcentral
UCAUCUUGUAAUGUUAGAAUGAACUUGA